RNAcentral lists this ribosomal RNA (404 nucleotides) under uncultured bacterium. RNAcentral describes it as "bacterial SSU rRNA". It matches the Rfam family "Bacterial small subunit ribosomal RNA", at positions 355 to 775 of the family's 1533-position model. The record is from RNAcentral.
UUGGGAAUCUUGCACAAUGGAGGAAACUCUGAUGCAGCGACGCCGCGUGGAGGACGAAGGGUCUAGGCUCGUAAACUCCUUUUUUCGGGAAAGACUUAGGACGGUACCCGAAGAAUAAGCACCGGCUAACUACGUGCCAGCAGCCGCGGUAAGACGUAGGGUGCAAGCGUUGUCCGGAUUUACUGGGCGUAAAGAGCGCGUAGGCGGCUCGUUAAGUGAGAAGUUAAAGCUGUGGGCUUAACCCACAAACCGCUUUUCAUACUGGCGAGCUGGAGUGAUGCAGAGGUGGAUAGAAUUCCCGGUGUAGCGGUGAAAUGCGUUGAUAUCGGGAGGAAUACCCGUGGCGAAGGCGGUCCACUGGGCAUCAACUGACGCUGAGGCGCGAAAGCGUGGGUAGCAAACAG